Molecule: long non-coding RNA, 392 nt
Filed under: Brassica napus (rape)
Lineage: Eukaryota; Viridiplantae; Streptophyta; Magnoliopsida; Brassicales; Brassicaceae
Description: long non-coding RNA (BNAP_LNC009590)
Source: RNAcentral
GCAACCUGAUCACUCUUUUGAUCUUCAAACGUCCAACACAAGGACAAAAGCGCGCUACAAAAAAAAUCCGAAAUUUUGGUCUAGCACUUCUAGUUGGCUUAAAAAUUGUCUCUGGAAAGAUGCUCGAUUCGUACCAUAUAAGUCGUAUAAGCCGAGAACCUAUCAUGGACUUUAAAUCGGUAUGAAUCAGGUAAAAAUCGUAACAGGAAAACCGAUAGCCGGCUAGUCACCGCACAAACCUUAAAACCGAGAGUAAACCUAGGUCUUGCCCUAAACCCAUCGUAUUGGUCUCAAACAUCUCAAAGACAUGAUAUUUAAACGAUACGAGAUUCCUAAAACAUGUCUCUUCGUUCAUAACUCAACGUUCCCGAAAAAUCGUAAAUAAUUUCUAC